RNAcentral lists this long non-coding RNA (2547 nucleotides) under Homo sapiens (human). RNAcentral's name for it is "HSALNT0203340". Lineage: Eukaryota; Metazoa; Chordata; Mammalia; Primates; Hominidae. The record is from RNAcentral.
GUCUCAUUCUGUCUUCCAACACUAGAGUGCAGUGGUGCCAUUUCAGCUGACUGCAGCCUGGUCUUCCUGGUCUCUAGCAAUCCUCCCAUCUCAGCUUUCUGCGUAGUUGGGAUCACAGAAAGAGAAUUUGAUUCAUCAAGCCACCUAAAAGAAAACGAGAACAUGAAAUAAACACAUAUGAAAGGUAUUAACUCUUUCUUAACCUCAGUCUCCUCGAAAGCAGAGCCUAAGUCAAGACCCUGGACCAGUGAUGAUUUAGAAAAUGAUCUCUGAAAGCAAGAAAGAGAAGCCAAAGGAGUUGACUGAGGUGUGAAUUUGUGACUGCCUCAUGCUUUAUCACAGUUAUCAUCCUUCAUGAAUCAGAGAUUUCCCAGAGGAGGAAAUGGAAGAUCCAUAGCAAAAUUUGCAUCAGGAGGCUGACCUUGCACCUAACAAGAAUAAUCAAAGCCUGCUUAAAAGUGGUUGCAGAUAAAACAACUUGAGGUGGAGUUGGGACCAAGAGUACUUGUCAUGGCAUGCAACUGUUGACCUAUAACACCUGCAGUACUGCUCCAUGCAGUGUUAACUAAAGAACUAACUGAUAUGAGUUACUUUGAUCACAAAGUACAAUUUUUAUAACAGUACUACUUAGGUGAAAUCUAUUGAAUUAAAGUAUAAAGUAAUUUUUAUUUUUCAACAUCUUGAAUCUACUAUUUUAGAAUUUCUAGGAUGUUAUAAAAGCAAGAAGAACCAUAUCAACUGAGGAUUUAGAAACAAAGUGACAAGGGAACCUGGAGGAAACAUAUUUUCAGCUGGAGAUUGAACACAUGACCACCAGGAAAAUUGUUACAACCUGGAAGUACGUUGGAAAUAAAUUUGAGCUUCCUCAAAUUUAUUUGAGGAAAGCAGGGUUAGGAAAGCAGGGUUAGGAAAGAGGGUUAGGAAAGCAGGAAUUUUUGUGAGGAAAAGGAAAAUUAUGAAGACAUAGAAGAUUGUUUUCUGACCAAAAACGAUGGUUUAUUUAUAGUUUAGAUGUUCUGUAAUCAAAACCAAAUCAUCUAUGAAAUAAUUUGAACUUUGAUAUAUGUUUUGUUAUCUGGGGAAAAUAGUUUGCUGUUUUGAAAAAUUCACACACUUAAUUGGCAGACUUCUCAAAACAGUUGUUUUUAGUAAAACAGUACAUACUCUUUAGCUGUUUAUAGUUGAAAUAACUGUAAGGCUUGUAUUAAAAAACUAGAAAGAGUAAAAUUUAAUUAACCUAACAAAUGAACACAGAAGAAACAGGAUGCAUCCACAGGUGGUAAAUCAUUUCAACUGUGAGUGAAAUGGGAAAGCAAAAGUAAUAGCCAGCUGUUCAGAGCAGUGCAAAUUGUACGCAGCAAACCUGAACUGAAAAUCCAAGCUAUGGCUUAAUGUAAUUCCUUCAAGGCAACAGAUGCUCAUAGAGGUAGAGAGGAGGAGGGCAAUUUAUUGUAGAAAAUUACAUUUUUAUUAUGAUCUGUGAUCUAGAUAUUAAAUUGAAGAUCUCUCAUAGUCGGUAGUCCAAUAUUGGAAACACAAUUUAGUUCUACUAGCAUAGAAAAUUAAGAUUCAGUAUUCAGUAUUAAGCUUCAGUAUUCAGUAAUACUUAGUAUAACCAUCUGGAAUGAGACCCUGUUAGUAUACCAUUCACUCUUAGGCAGAUGCUAGACAAACUGUAUGGAGUAUAAAAAAUGAAAUAAUUAAAGGUCUUUCUCAAAAUAAAAUAUUUUUUCAUUGUUUACAGAGAGUAGAAAAAGAAAAAGAUUCAAUAUUUAUUUAAUAACUGACAAAAAUGAUGAACAAAUCAAUAGAAAAAUAUAGACAUAAUUUUUUUCUUAAUAAACACAUAAUAUGAACCAUAGUAAAUAAUAAUCACCCACAAUAUUAAAGCAACCAGGAGAUUCCAUUAAUGAAAAUGGCAGGAAAAAAGACACUAAUUAUCUCCACCAAAAUAAUCACAUAUUGGUGUUUCCAUAAUUUUAGUAGUUAUAAUUGUGUUUAAUUAGGAUUUCCCACCACAUGAAAAAUUAUUCCUGAAUGUGAGGAAUUUCCAAAACAUUUUUUUAAAAAACUAAUUUGAGGCCAGACACAGUGGCUCAUACCUGUAAUUCCAGCAUCUUGGGAGGCUGAAGUGGGUGGAUCAUUUGAGGUCAAGAGUUCAAGACCAGGCUGGCCAACAUGGUGAAACCCUGUUUCUACUAAAAAUACAAAAAUUAGUCAGCCAUGAUGGCAUGCACACCUGUAGUCCCAGCUACUCGGGAGGCUGAGGCAGGAGAAUCACUUGAACCGGGGAAGUGGAGGUUGCAGUGAGCCGACAUCAAGCCACUGCACUCAAGCCUGGGAGACAGAGCAAGAUACCAUCUCAAAAAAGAAAAAAAAACUAAUUUGUUUAAGAAUUAUAGUAUAUGCACUACAUAUCUGAGAGAGGAUUUAAAUAUUUUACCACUUCUUUUAAAAUGAGGAAAUCCUGCAGCUUUAAGCUGUCUUUGAUAUUUUCAUUAGCAUAUGUGUUACAGUCACGUAAAUUAUGAACCAAGAACACAAUGU